GCCUUCGUGGUUUAACAGUUAGCACACUCGGCUCGUAUUCGAGAGGUCCAGGUUUGAGUCUUGGCGAUGGCA
This 72-nucleotide transfer RNA is filed under the name Stegodyphus mimosarum. It matches the Rfam family "tRNA". Rfam says of the family: Transfer RNA (tRNA) molecules are approximately 80 nucleotides in length. Their secondary structure includes four short double-helical elements and three loops (D, anti-codon, and T loops). The record is from Rfam by way of RNAcentral. Lineage: Eukaryota; Metazoa; Arthropoda; Arachnida; Araneae; Eresidae.